This 74-nucleotide transfer RNA is filed under the name Marmota monax (woodchuck). RNAcentral's name for it is "tRNA.Val". It matches the Rfam family "tRNA". From Rfam's summary of the family: Transfer RNA (tRNA) molecules are approximately 80 nucleotides in length. Their secondary structure includes four short double-helical elements and three loops (D, anti-codon, and T loops). The record is from RNAcentral. Lineage: Eukaryota; Metazoa; Chordata; Mammalia; Rodentia; Sciuridae.
UGUGGCUGUGGCUCAGUUGGUAGAGGGCUUGCCUCACAUGCGUGAGGCCCUGGGUUCAAUCCCCGGCACCAUAA